Callithrix jacchus (white-tufted-ear marmoset) is the source of this 144-nucleotide small nuclear RNA. Its record names the gene U4. It matches the Rfam family "U4 spliceosomal RNA". Rfam says of the family: U4 small nuclear RNA (U4 snRNA) is a component of the major U2-dependent spliceosome. The structure of U4 snRNA from yeast and human has been reported. The record is from Ensembl. NCBI's taxonomy places the organism in Eukaryota, Metazoa, Chordata, Mammalia, Primates, Cebidae.
AGCUUUGCACAGUGGCAGGCAGUAUCAUAGCCAAUGAGGUUUAUCUGAGACACGGUUAUUGCUAAUUGAAAAUUUUCCUAAUACUCUGCCAUGAUGACUUGAAAUAUAGUCGGCAUUAGCACUUUUUGGCAGUCUUUAAGGGGA